GUUCGAUUAGCUCAGUUGGUAGAGCAACUGACUCUUAAUCAGUGGGUCCAGGGUUCGAAUCCCUGAUCGAACACCA
This 76-nucleotide transfer RNA is filed under the name Tissierellia bacterium. RNAcentral's name for it is "tRNA-Lys". It matches the Rfam family "tRNA". Rfam says of the family: Transfer RNA (tRNA) molecules are approximately 80 nucleotides in length. Their secondary structure includes four short double-helical elements and three loops (D, anti-codon, and T loops). The record is from RNAcentral. Lineage: Bacteria; Bacillati; Bacillota; Tissierellia.